GGGCUUGUGGUUUAGGGGUAUAAUGUAAGGAAAAAUGUUGUAAUAUGAUUCUGGCCUCGCUAAUAUCUAAUAGGUUCGCUUCGCAUUGAUUUGGGAUUGCGAAAGGUCCUGGGUUCGAUUCCCAGCAAGUCCA
Non-coding RNA from Karstenula rhodostoma CBS 690.94, 133 nucleotides. Lineage: Eukaryota; Fungi; Ascomycota; Dothideomycetes; Pleosporales; Didymosphaeriaceae. The record is from the annotation of a GenBank genome assembly.